Molecule: transfer RNA, 68 nt
Filed under: Glyptelasma gigas
Lineage: Eukaryota; Metazoa; Arthropoda; Thecostraca; Poecilasmatidae
Description: tRNA-Ala
Source: RNAcentral
AGAGGAGAAGUUUAUUAUAAUAUUUGACCUGCAAUCAAAAGAAGGUAUUUUAUCACUACCCUCCUCUA